AGUCGAACGGCAGCGGGUCCUUCGGGACGCCGGCGAGUGGCGAACGGGUGAGUAAUGCAUCGGAACGUACCCAGUAGUGGGGGAUAACUUACCGAAAGGUAAGCUUAUACCGCAUACGCACUGAGGUGGAAAGCAGGGGACCGCAAGGCCUUGCGCUAUUGGAGCGGCCGAUGUCGGAUUAGCUAGUUGGUGGGGUAAAGGCCUACCAAGGCGACGAUCCGUAGCGGGUCUGAGAGGAUGAUCCGCCACACUGGAACUGAGACACGGUCCAGACUCCUACGGGAGGCAGCAGUGGGGAAUUUUGGACAAUGGGCGCAAGCCUGAUCCAGCCAUGCCGCGUGAGUGAAGAAGGCCUUCGGGUUGUAAAGCUCUUUCGGCCGGGAAGAAAUCGUGGUGGCUAAUACCUGCCAUGGAUGACGGUACCGGACUAAGAAGCACCGGCUAACUAUGUGCCAGCAGCCGCGGUAAUACAGAGGGUGCAAGCGUUAAUCGGAAUUACUGGGCGUAAAGCGCGCGUAGGCGGCUUGAUAAGAUGGGUGUGAAAUCCCCGGGCUUAACCUGGGAACUGCAUCCAUAACUGUCUGGCUAGAGUACAGUAGAGGGUGGUGGAAUUUCCUGUGUAGCGGUGAAAUGCGUAGAUAUAGGAAGGAACACCAGUGGCGAAGGCGACCACCUGGACUGAUACUGACGCUGAGGUGCGAAAGCGUGGGGAGCAAACAGGAUUAGAUACCCUGGUAGUCCACGCCGUAAACGAUGUCUACUAGCCGUUGGAAUCCUUGAGAUUUUAGUGGCGCAGCUAACGCACUAAGUAGACCGCCUGGGGAGUACGGUCGCAAGAUUAAAACUCAAAUGAAUUGACGGGGGCCCGCACAAGCGGUGGAGCAUGUGGUUUAAUUUCGAAGCAACGCGAAGAACCUUACCUGCCCUGACCUGCAGAGACUUUCCAGAGAWGGAUUGGUGCCUUCGGGAACUUCGACCCCGGUGCCGCCAGGCCGUUGUUAACUUGUGUUCCGAGAAGUUGGGGUAAAUUCCGUAACGAGCCCCACCCUUGUCCUUAAUUUCCCACCCGGUUUUGGGGGCCCUUUAAGGGGGCUUCCGGUGGCCGGCCGGAGGAAGGGGGGGAAGGCGUCCAGUCCUCCUGGCCCUUUCGGCCGGGGUUCCCCCCUGGUUCCAUGGUUGGUUCCGAGGGUUGCCCAACCCCGAGGUGGAACUAAUUCCCUUAAACCCAUUGUAGUUCGGAAUGGGGUUUGCAACUUGGCUCCCGAAAUUGGAAUCCCU
Molecule: ribosomal RNA, 1278 nt
Filed under: uncultured bacterium
Lineage: Bacteria
Description: partial 16S ribosomal RNA
Rfam family: Bacterial small subunit ribosomal RNA
Source: RNAcentral